Molecule: ribosomal RNA, 483 nt
Filed under: uncultured bacterium
Lineage: Bacteria
Description: partial 16S ribosomal RNA
Rfam family: Bacterial small subunit ribosomal RNA
Source: RNAcentral
GAUGAACGCUGGCGGCGUGCUUAACACAUGCAAGUCGAACGGAAAGGCCCAAGCUUGCUUGGGUACUCGAGUGGCGAACGGGUGAGUAACACGUGGGUGAUCUGCCCUGCACUUCGGGAUAAGCCUGGGAAACUGGGUCUAAUACCGGAUAGGACCACUUCUUGGAUGGUGUGGUGGAAAGUUUUUUCGGUGGGGGAUGAGCUCGCGGCCUAUCAGCUUGUUGGUGGGGUAAUGGCCUACCAAGGCGUCGACGGGUAGCCGGCCUGAGAGGGUGUACGGCCACAUUGGGACUGAGAGACGGCCCAGACUCCUACGGGAGGCAGCAGUGGGGAAUAUUGCACAAUGGGCGCAAGCCUGAUGCAGCGACGCCGCGUGGGGGAUGACGGCCUUCGGGUUGUAAACUCCUUUCGCUAGGGACGAAGCGUUUUGUGACGGUACCUGGAGAAGAAGCACCGGCUAACUACGUGCCAGCCGCCGCCGUAA